GUUUCAUUUGUACAUUAUGCACAAUAGACAUUCCAUUACAUUCAAGAGUGUGUAAAAGUACUCGAGUCGCCAGGCCGAUCAAGGCCAUGCAAAGCGGCAGACUCAGAGUCAUAGAUUCACAGGUGUGUGGGAUUUGCGACUCGCAACGUGCACAUGUGUCUCCACCAGCACAGUAGGACGAGCCGACUUUGAGGAUUCACUAAUGAUCCUUCCGCAGGUUCACCUACGGAAA
This 232-nucleotide unclassified non-coding RNA is filed under the name uncultured fungus. RNAcentral's name for it is "sequence contains ITS1". The record is from RNAcentral. Lineage: Eukaryota; Fungi.